Molecule: ribosomal RNA, 883 nt
Filed under: Escherichia coli
Lineage: Bacteria; Pseudomonadati; Pseudomonadota; Gammaproteobacteria; Enterobacterales; Enterobacteriaceae
Description: partial 23S ribosomal RNA
Rfam family: Bacterial large subunit ribosomal RNA
Source: RNAcentral
GCGAUACAGGGUGACAGCCCCGUACACAAAAAUGCACAUGCUGUGAGCUCGAUGAGUAGGGCGGGACACGUGGUAUCCUGUCUGAAUAUGGGGGGACCAUCCUCCAAGGCUAAAUACUCCUGACUGACCGAUAGUGAACCAGUACCGUGAGGGAAAGGCGAAAAGAACCCCGGCGAGGGGAGUGAAAAAGAACCUGAAACCGUGUACGUACAAGCAGUGGGAGCACAGAGCAAUCUGUGUGACUGCGUACCUUUUGUAUAAUGGGUCAGCGACUUAUAUUCUGUAGCAAGGUUAACCGAAUAGGGGAGCCGAAGGGAAACCGAGUCUUAACUGGGCGUUAAGUUGCAGGGUAUAGACCCGAAACCCGGUGAUCUAGCCAUGGGCAGGUUGAAGGUUGGGUAACACUAACUGGAGGACCGAACCGACUAAUGUUGAAAAAUUAGCGGAUGACUUGUGGCUGGGGGUGAAAGGCCAAUCAAACCGGGAGAUAGCUGGUUCUCCCCGAAAGCUAUUUAGGUAGCGCCUCGUGAAUUCAUCUCCGGGGGUAGAGCACUGUUUCGGCAAGGGGGUCAUCCCGACUUACCAACCCGAUGCAAACUGCGAAUACCGGAGAAUGUUAUCACGGGAGACACACGGCGGGUGCUAACGUCCGUCGUGAAGAGGGAAACAACCCAGACCGCCAGCUAAGGUCCCAAAGUCAUGGUUAAGUGGGAAACGAUGUGGGAAGGCCCAGACAGCCAGGAUGUUGGCUUAGAAGCAGCCAUCAUUUAAAGAAAGCGUAAUAGCUCACUGGUCGAGUCGGCCUGCGCGGAAGAUGUAACGGGGCUAAACCAUGCACCGAAGCUGCGGCAGCGACACUGUGUGUUGUUGGGUAGGGGAGCGU